RNAcentral lists this ribosomal RNA (461 nucleotides) under uncultured Actinomyces sp. Its description in RNAcentral is "bacterial SSU rRNA". It matches the Rfam family "Bacterial small subunit ribosomal RNA", at positions 338 to 795 of the family's 1533-position model. The record is from RNAcentral. Lineage: Bacteria; Bacillati; Actinomycetota; Actinomycetes; Actinomycetales; Actinomycetaceae.
CCUACGGGGGGCAGCAGUGGGGAAUAUUGCACAAUGGGCGCAAGCCUGAUGCAGCGACGCCGCGUGAGGGAUGGAGGCCUUCGGGUUGUGAACCUCUUUCGCCAGUGAAGCAGGCCUGUCCCUGUGUGGGUGGGUUGACGGUAGCUGGAUAAGAAGCGCCGGCUAACUACGUGCCAGCAGCCGCGGUAAUACGUAGGGCGCGAGCGUUGUCCGGAAUUAUUGGGCGUAAAGAGCUCGUAGGCGGCUGGUCGCGUCUGUCGGGAAAUCCUCUGGCUUAACUGGGGGCUUGCGGUGGGUACGGGCCGGCUUGAGUGCGGUAGGGGAGGCUGGAACUCCUGGUGUAGCGGUGGAAUGCGCAGAUAUCAGGAAGAACACCGGUGGCGAAGGCGGGUCUCUGGGCCGUUACUGACGCUGAGGAGCGAAAGCGUGGGGAGCGAACAGGAUUAGAUACCCUAGUAGUC